AUCGGAACAUAAUUCCAAAAUGUAAAAUAAGGUAAAACUGUACCUUGCUCCAUCCCAGGGAGUAUGAGCAAUGUUUAUGAUAUGCAAAACCUGUUCCACUUAUUUCCUUCCAUACUUUUCUUCCUGUGUUUCUAUUUCUGCCAUCAUAUUUUUUUGUAUUCUUAUGUCUGAGUCACUGUUUCUCUGGCAUUAUCUUUUAGUGUGUGCUUCUCUUACUGCUAGAGUCUGAAUGUUGGUGUCCCCUCAAAAUCCAUAUAUUGAAACUUAACCCGGAAGGUGAUGGUAUUAGGACGUGGGAACUCUGGGAGGUGAUGAGGUCAUGAGAGUAGAGCCCUCAUGAAUGGGAUUAAUGCUCUUCAAAAGAGGCUCCAGCUCCUUCGCCCCUUCUGCCAUGUGAGGACUCAGUGAGAAGGCACCGUCUAUGAAGCGGGAAGCCCUCACCAGGCACCAAAUCUGUCAGUGCUUUGACCUUGGACUUCCAGGCUCCAGAAAUGUGAGAAACACAUUUCUGUUGCUUAUGAGCCUCCCAGUUUAUGGUGUUUUGUUAUAGCAGCCCCAACAGACUAAGCCAUUUGCUUAGUUCCAAGAUCAAAUGUAAUGUUGGGCAAUGAAUGAAAAGGAGAACAGAACCCUCAAAUGUCCAGUAGGGGAAGGCCAAAGCUGUUUCUUGUUUCUGCACAAAGGAGAUGACUUCAUUUCCUUAGAAGGUAAAUGAAUUAGAGAAGGGAUUAGAAACAGGCUUUUUUCUGCAGGAAAGAAACAUAGAGGGUCAGUGUUCAGUGUCUUCUUCUAGUCAUAUCCCUUUACUUGGUCAGACACCAAGGGUCUGGGCCCAGGAUCUGCUGGGGAAAGUCAAUCAUGAAAGGAACAUUGGGACAGAUGAGCCACUUGGCUCUUUUUCAUUCCUGAUGCUUUGCAGGGGAUCAGACAAUUAUCUUGCCCUCCCCCUCUUCUCUCACCAAGAGACUUCCAUCAGAGGCAUGCAUGAGCUGCUCAUGCAGUCUGUGGAAGGGCCAGGAGCACAUUGAGCUUCGCAAAAGGGUGAAGCCUUCUGGGUUCACCCUUUUGCCAAUACAGGGGCCAAACCACACUGGUUUGCAAUGUCAUGGCCCAGCAAAGUGUGCAAGUGAGCACAAGUGGAGCAAUUCAGCAGUGACAGGUACCAGAUAAAUGAGCUGGCCUGACCCUGGAUGAAUUUCUUCACAGUCAUUCUGAAAAUGUGAGUGUUAAGUGUUGAAUUGUGUUCCCCUCAAAAAUGUGGAAGUCCUAGCCCCCAGUACUUGUGAAUGUGAUCUUAUUUGGAAAUUGAGUCUUUGCAGAUGAUCAAGUUAAGAUGAGGUCAUUAGGGUGGGCCCUAAUCCAAUAUGGCUGGUGUCCUAAAAAUCAAGGGGAUGUUGGGGCACAGACACAGACACACACAGACACAGACACACACACACACACACGUGCAUGCAGAAAACACCAUAUGAAGACUGGAGUUAUGCUGCCCGAUGUGAAAGAAAUCCCAGAAGCUGGGAGAAAGGCCUGGAACAGAUCCUUCCCUAGAGCCUUCAGAGGGAGCAUGUCCCUGCUGACACCUUGAUCUUGGACUUCUGUCCUCAAGAACUGUGAGAGAAUAAAUUUCUGUUGCUUAUGCCACUACAUUUAUGGCCCUUUGUUAUGGCAGCCACAGCAAACUAAUGUGUUGAGCAAAGGUCAAGUAGCAGGAAUCACCCAGAGCACCUUUCCUUCUCCAGUGAGUGCUACCAAGAAAGCGUUUUCCUUUUGAGACAACAAUUCUCAUAGAAGCAGCGUACACUAAGAGGGACCUUCUGUUACCCAGUCUGGGAGGCUGUUGUCUUCACCCCAUUAUCUUCCUGCCCCCACUAUCAUCACCUACAGAAGUCAUAUGAAGAAAUGAACUUUCAGAGGAAAGCUUUUCAUUAUUAAAGCAAAACAAAGGUGUAAUCAGGCAACAUUCAGAAGUGAGGGGAGCAGGAGGACUUAAAGAAGAAAUGGAAAAUAAGCAAAAUUGGGGAAGUGGCAUUUACAUUUAAGAUUUGCUUUUGCAUCUUCUGCAUGGGAACUUCGACCCACGGCUAUGUGACUAUGAGGCAACUGUAAAUGCAUCACAAAGAUGGGGGUGGAUGGAAGCUCAAAGGAUUCAAAAGAUGCCAGAGGAAAGUGAAGCUCAAAUUGGGCCCCCUGGCCCAGCAGCAUCAGCAUCUCCUGGGAGCUCGUUAGAAACAAGAAUUCUCAGCCGCCCCAGGCAUACAGGAUCAGGAAUUCUGGGUGGGGGCCCAGCCAUCUGCGUUUUAACAAGCCCUCUAGGGGAUUCUGAUACAUAGUACACAAAAGCUUGAAAAGCAUCUUGCUGGGGAAACCACAAAAGGGAGAGAGGUGGAAGGGGAAAGGCAGCAAGAUCCAAAAUGCUGUUCUAAGGCAAUGCUUGGCCUGAACAAUGUCAAAUCAUACUUUUAAAAAAAUCCAGCUGAAACUAGAAAUCAUAAAAUGAUCACAUGUUACAUUUUACCUGAAAGCAUAAAUGUACAUCAUUUACUAAUCUUUCAACAAGGAGCCAAGGCCUUUUGCAUCUCUGGGUGCGGUGGGUCAGCAGUGCCACUUCAUCCUUCUUACUAAUGCACAGUGGAUGAACCACAUCCACUGUGCAUCAUCUAUUCUUCCAGUUCCAGGGCUUUUUUUUUUUUUAACAGCAAAUUUAAGAAACGACUACAAAGCAGUGAGUGAAAAAUUAUUCUGAUUUUUAUGAUAUUUUCUAAACCCCUUCCAGUUUCAUGGCAACAUUUUUUGGGAUUCUCCUUCAAAGCCUUCCUUAUCAUUCAUUAGUCUUUAUAUACUUGGCUUAUGCAUUUACAUUGCAUUGUCUGUUGUUUUGGUUAAUUAAAAUAAUUACGUUACUGGCUCAUGCUAAGCCGGCUGCUCAACUAGGAGGAUGGGGACCUCCUGGCUGUAGGGAUCAACCUGCACUCUAGCCUGGGUGACUGAGCAGGACUCUGUCUCCAAAAAAAAAAAAAAAACAACAACAAUGGAAAAAAACAAACAAAAAAACUUUUGGAAAAAAAUCGGGAUAACUCAUUAAAAUUAAAGGAAAUAAAAUGAAAGAUAGCAGUUGGGUGUAUCAAGGCAGGAUUUAAAGGAAAAAUAUUAAUUUUUACUUUAAUCAAUUUUUAGCUAUUUUAUCUAUUAUCAGUCAUGUGAAGUGGGAAAAUUAUAUUUCUUUUUCUUUAUGAGACAAUAUUUAUUCUGUUUAUGAUUAUGUAUCCCAAUAAAUAUAAGUCCCAGCAUCAUCCAUGAAAAUGGCUACUGAUUCAAAAGCUUGAUUCCUUGGGCUAGACACUGGAAGACUCAAAAGUCCCAAAGGAAAUCAAUAUUCUCUUUGUUUUAUUUAUUUUGUUUUAACCUCAUGGGUAUCUAUAGGUGAAGUUUGGCAUAUAAUAUAUUUUUUAUUUCUUGUGAACCAAACUUCAUUUAAUAAUAGAUAAUAACAAUAGCUAACAUUCAUUGAUUAAAAUGUGUUAGGGCCUUAUUAAUUACUUUAUAUUAAUUUUUAUUUAAUUAUCGUAACAACCUGAUGAUAUAGGUACGGUUAAAGUAUAAUUUUUAACAAGUUAAAAACAUGAAUGUCAUAUACAUACGGAAUGAAAACAUUCCAAACAGUCAUUUAACUCAUUAAUGAUUGGAACCAUUACAAAAUUAAACUAAUUCCAAGAGCAUUUUGAGGAAUCUGGUAUUUAUAGACAUUUUGAGGGAAAAAAAAGUGUUGAAUAAGAUUUUGAGGCUACAUUUAAAACUGGUUAAUAUCCUUCAAAGCAAUAAAACCACAGUAUUUGAUGUUAUCUUUUCUAUUGGAUAGAAAUUUAUGAAUUAACGUAACUUCAGUCAUCUAAAUUCUAACCAAAUAGAAAAUAGAAAGUCAAACACAGGUACAUUCCCUAGAUAAUGAAGUAACUUUUAGCACCAGUCAGUGCUCUGGUAAAAUUUUGAAAGGUCAUGCCGCACCCUUUUAACCUUAUUCAACUUUUAGAUAAUUUUUCUUGAUAAAAUUAUAAUUGUGUACAUUUUACCAAUGAGGAAAUUGAUGCUUAGAGAUAUUAAAUAACAUGAUAAGGGAAUCACAGUAAGGGUAGAGCAAAAGUGGAACCCAGGUCCUUCUGAUACUUUAAUCCACUGUCUUAUACCAGUUGAAAGCCAUUUUUAUCUGUCCUAUAAAAUUCUUUGUGUGUGUGUGUGUAUUCAACAUUACUUAAAAUAAAUGGAAUCAAUAUUUGAGAUUGAAAAACCUGUAUUAUAUGAAAAUUUUUAUUAUGAUGGUAUCAGUUGCAGUGAGAUUUGUCCUAUCAAGGAUUUUGUUCUGUUUUGUUUACAUGUACAUACAUGCUUACAAUGGUGGAAUGAUGCAUUCUUUGCAAGCAAACCAGACCCCAACUAAUGGUGGGUAAAGGACUCAGAGUUAGAAGUUAUGCCGAAGAUAGACUAUAACAGGAUAUAGUUAUGCCGAAGAUAGACUAUAACAGGGCUAAAAAAUGAAGGAGGGAGACAGACUUUGACAGCAAUGAUCUGAAGAGCCUUGAUGGAAGAAAGCUGAGAAGGAAAAAACUACAAACACUGAAAUGUACUUAACUCUCACCUUUUCAGUUUGAAGCUGUUCAUAGUGAACUCAGCCUGUGUUCUAAAUAAACAGACACCAAAAAAAUCAUGUGGGAGCUAGAAUGUUGACUCUGGGGAUUCUGAAUAUUGAGCUGAUUUAUAGUAUUCCAACUCUUUGAUAAAUGUCUAAAAUGUUUCAAUACUUAGGCUAUCUAUGAUUUAUUUGUAUUUGAUAUUAGCUUUAUGAUGAUAUUGUUUAUAAAUCAGCAUGGAUUUUGUGUGAGUUAUUACAAGAAAAGUUUACUCUUCUGAUUAAUUAAGGAAAGAACCACCUAACUUUGUGAAACUUCUGACUAAUCAACAUUUGAAAUGUGUUUGUUGGCAUGGUUUUCUAAAAUAGGGAGUAUAAUAAAGUAGGUUAAAAGAAUGUUGUAUAGUGAAGGUCCCCAAGAGAUUGACCUAAUUUAUUUAUUGUUUAAAACAAAACAAACAGAACAAAACUAAAAAUGAUGGACUUGUACUUCAGACUAGUAUAGAAUAACAAGGUCCAGAUUUACCCUCUUACCUGAAAUAACACAAAAAAAACUACACAAAAUAUAUGAAGUAGUGAUUUUCAAGACACUAAUAUCAGCUAAUGAAGGACAGUGGUCCUUGAGAGAUGAUAAAUGAAGUGAACUCUAUGAUUUCCCAAGCUUACUGCCUUGGGAGAAUUUCCAGACCAUCAUGCUGGGGAAGGGGGUCGGUGGAGCUUGAUGAACUCCAUGAUAUGAGGAGGUGGAGCUGAGAGUCCAGGGAGAACAACAAGGCUAGAAUUCACAGAAAAGAGUACCAGGGAGGAGAGAGCUGCCCAGAGAUAGGACUCUGGAUACCUGCAGAAUAUCCAUCACAGUACUGACAGUGUAUUCAUGUGAGGAUGCUACCCAGAACCAGAGAAAUAAUGACCUGAAAGGAUUACAGGCAGUGAUAUGCAGCACUCUCACUGGCAUGGGAAUAGUGCCUAUUCCACCAGCAAGACUUAGAAAACCUCAUAAUUCAUGAAGCAUUAGAUGGUAAACUCUGAAGGAUCUUGCCUCAAUAAUGGAAGAAUAAUUCGUUCUAAACACAACUCUGGCCCCGCCUAACAAAUCUUAAGAGCAAGACCCAAAUGGAUCAAAAAGUUAGGUAGAGACAUGGAAGAUAUAGAAAAGACCCAAUUCAAACUUCUAGAGACCAAAACUGCAAUGUUGGAGACAAAGUAGACCACAUGGGAAUAGUGACAGAGUAGACAUUGUAGAAGAAAAGGUUAGUGAAUGUGAAGAUAUGUCAAUAAAAGCUAUCCAAAAUAAAACAUACAGAAAAAUUGUUUAAAUGAACAGCACAUCAGUGAUCUGUGUGAUAACUUCACACAGCCUAAGAUAUAUGUGCAAUUGGAUUCCCUGAAGGGGGAAGAGGGAUUAUAGGAAAAAAUUUCAAUACAAUAGCCAAAAAUAUAAAACUAUAAACUCACAUAUCUAAGUAGGUCAAUAAACCUAAAGCAUAAAAAA
This 6110-nucleotide long non-coding RNA is filed under the name Homo sapiens (human). RNAcentral describes it as "non-protein coding lnc-ARHGAP6-3:1". Lineage: Eukaryota; Metazoa; Chordata; Mammalia; Primates; Hominidae. The record is from RNAcentral.